RNAcentral lists this ribosomal RNA (495 nucleotides) under uncultured bacterium. RNAcentral describes it as "partial 16S ribosomal RNA". It matches the Rfam family "Bacterial small subunit ribosomal RNA", at positions 29 to 506 of the family's 1533-position model. The record is from RNAcentral.
AUGCACGCUGGCGGCGUGCCUAAUACAUGCCAGUCGCGCGAACAGACGAGGAGCUUGCUCCUCUGACGUUAGCGGCGGACGGGUGAGUAACACGUGGAUAACCUACCUAUAAGACUGGGAUAACUUCGGGAAACCGGAGCUAAUACCGGAUAAUAUAUUGAACCGCAUGGUUCAAUAGUGAAAGACGGUUUUGCUGUCACUUAUAGAUGGAUCCGCGCCGCAUUAGCUAGUUGGUAAGGUAACGGCUUACCAAGGCAACGAUGCGUAGCCGACCUGAGAGGGUGAUCGGCCACACUGGAACUGAGACACGGUCCAGACUCCUACGGGAGGCAGCAGUAGGGAAUCUUCCGCAAUGGGCGAAAGCUUGACGGAGCAACGCCGCGUGAGUGAUGAAGGUCUUCGGAUCGUAAAACGCUGUUAUUAGGGAAGAACAAAUGUGUAAGUAACUAUGCACGUCUUGACGGUACCUAAUCAGAAAGCCACGGCUAACUACGG